This 118-nucleotide ribosomal RNA is filed under the name Pteropus alecto (black flying fox). The record is from RNAcentral. Lineage: Eukaryota; Metazoa; Chordata; Mammalia; Chiroptera; Pteropodidae.
GUCUACCACUGUGCUACCCUGAACAAGCCCUCCCAUCUGAUCUUGUGAAGCUAAUCAGAGUCGGGCCUUGUUAGUACUUGGAUGGGAGACCACCUAGGAAGACCAGGUGCUGUAGGUG